Molecule: ribosomal RNA, 253 nt
Filed under: uncultured bacterium
Lineage: Bacteria
Description: partial 16S ribosomal RNA
Rfam family: Bacterial small subunit ribosomal RNA
Source: RNAcentral
UACAGAGGGGGCUAGCGUUGUUCGGAAUUAUUGGGCGUAAAGGGCGCGUAGGCGGCCGGAUAAGUCUGACGUGAAAUCCCUCGGCCUAACCGGGGAACUGCGUUUGAUACUGUCCAGCUCGAGUCCGGGAGAGGGCAGUGGAAUUCCCAGUGUAGCGGUGAAAUGCGUAGAUAUUGGGAGGAACACCGGUGGCGAAGGCGGCUACCUGGACCGGUACUGACGCUGAGGCGCGAAAGCUAGGGUAGCAAACAGG